Octopus sinensis (East Asian common octopus) is the source of this 501-nucleotide long non-coding RNA. RefSeq lists it as uncharacterized. The transcript is spliced from 2 exons. NCBI's taxonomy places the organism in Eukaryota, Metazoa, Mollusca, Cephalopoda, Octopoda, Octopodidae. The record is from RefSeq and is a predicted model, not a curated record.
UGCACUUACAGACACACUGACAAAUGAGAAACUCGAGGGUUAGAAGUGAGGUCAGGCCGGUCACAGGUGAGGAAAGGGGGUUGAAGGGGAGGUUUGAAAGUGGAGUCUGAGGUGGUGUGAACUAAAUUGAAAUAUUUUAAACACCAUUUUUUUAUUGUUUUUUUUUUUACCAUCCAGCCCACCCUUGCCAAAUUUCCUUUUAAAUUCUCAUUUUUGUUUUUCAUAAUAUCUGAUAGAUUUUAGAAAUUGCAAAAAAAAAAAAAAAACAAAAAAAAAACAGAAGGGAAAAAACUGUGUCAUUCAUUUAAUAAUUAAUAAUUAGGCUCAUUACUGACCUGAUGGGUUAAUAUAAGGACCCAGAGCAGAGAACAUCAUCAAUUCACACCUCCUCAGCACCAGAUCUUAAUAAUACUAUGACAUGUUAGUACAGCAAUUGAUAUCCUUAUGGAUAAGCAGACCCCUAAUAAAUAUUUGUUCGUCCAAGCAACUGAACCCUGAUAA